AUUGAACGCUGGCGGCAGGCCUAACACAUGCAAGUCGAACGAGUGGCGGACGGGUGAGUAAUGUCUGGGAAACUGCCUGAUGGAGGGGGAUAACUACUGGAAACGGUAGCUAAUACCGCAUACCAUCAGAUGUGCCCAGAUGGGAUUAGCUAGUUGGUGGGGUAACGGCUCACCAAGGCGACGAUCCCUAGCUGGUCUGAGAGGAUGACCAGCCCCACUGGACCUGAGACCCGGUCCAGACUCCUACGAUCGGCAGCAGUUGCGCAUAUUGCCCAAUGGUCGCAAGCCUGAUGCAGCCAUGCCGCGUGUAUGAAGGAGGCCUUCGGGUUGUAAAGUACUUUCAGCGGUGAGGCGUUACCCGCAGAAGAAGCACCGGCUAACUCCGUGCCAGCAGCCGCGGUAAUUC
Molecule: ribosomal RNA, 406 nt
Filed under: uncultured bacterium
Lineage: Bacteria
Description: partial 16S ribosomal RNA
Rfam family: Bacterial small subunit ribosomal RNA
Source: RNAcentral